UACGAAGGGGGCUAGCGUUGCUCGGAAUCACUGGGCGUAAAGCGCACGUAGGCGGCUUUCUAAGUCAGGGGUGAAAUCCUGGAGCUCAACUCCAGAACUGCCUUUGAUACUGGGAAGCUUGAGUCCGGAAGAGGUGAGUGGAACUCCGAGUGUAGAGGUGAAAUUCGUAGAUAUUCGCAAGAACACCAGUGGCGAAGGCGGCUCACUGGCCCGAUACUGACGCUGAGGCACGAAAGCGUGGGGAGCAAACAGG
RNAcentral lists this ribosomal RNA (253 nucleotides) under uncultured bacterium. RNAcentral's name for it is "partial 16S ribosomal RNA". It matches the Rfam family "Bacterial small subunit ribosomal RNA", at positions 524 to 776 of the family's 1533-position model. The record is from RNAcentral.